UACGAAGGGGGCUAGCGUUGUUCGGAUUUACUGGGCGUAAAGCGCACGUAGGCGGAUCGUUAAGUCGGGGGUGAAAUCCUGGAGCUCAACUCCAGAACUGCCUUCGAUACUGGCGAUCUUGAGUCCGGAAGAGGUGAGUGGAAUUCCUAGUGUAGAGGUGGAAUUCGUAGAUAUUAGGAAGAACACCAGUGGCGAAGGCGGCUCACUGGUCCGGUACUGACGCUAAGGUGCGAAAGCGUGGGGGAGCAAACAGG
This 254-nucleotide ribosomal RNA is filed under the name uncultured bacterium. Its description in RNAcentral is "partial 16S ribosomal RNA". It matches the Rfam family "Bacterial small subunit ribosomal RNA", at positions 524 to 776 of the family's 1533-position model. The record is from RNAcentral.